GAUGAACGCUAGCGACAGGCUUAACACAUGCAAGUCGAGGGGCAGCACAAGGAGUAAUCUGAGGUGGCGACCGGCGCACGGGUGAGUAACACGUAUGCAACCUGCCUACAACAGGGGGAUAGGCUCUCGAAAGAGAGAUUAAUACCGCAUAAUACAGGGAUACCGCAUGGUAAUAUUUGUUAAAGAUUAAUUGGUUGUAGAUGGGCAUGCGCAACAUUAGGUAGUUGGAGAGGUAAUGGCUCCCCAAGCCAUCGAUGUUUAGGGGUUCUGAGAGGAAGGUCCCCCACACUGGUACUGAGACACGGACCAGACUCCUACGGGAGGCAGCAGUGAGGAAUAUUGGUCAAUGGACGAGAGUCUGAACCAGCCAAGUCGCGUGCAGGAAGACGGCGCUAUGCGUUGUAAACUGCUUUUGUAAAGGAAUAAAGUUCGUCACGUGUGAUGAUUUGUAUGUACUUUACGAAUAAGGAUCGGCUAACUCCGUGCCAGCAGCCGCGGUAAUACGGAGGAUUCGAGCGUUAUCCGGAUUUAUUGGGUUUAAAGGGUGCGUAGGCGGAUUAAUAAGUCAGUGGUGAAAGUUUGUGGCUCAACCAUAAAAUUGCCAUUGAAACUGUUAGUCUUGAGUGAACUAGAAGUGUGCGGAAUGUGUAAUGUAGCGGUGAAAUGCUUAGAUAUUACCCAGAACCCCGAUUGCGAAGGCAGCACACUGGGGGUUUUACUGACGCUGAUGCACGANAGCGUGGGGAUCGAACAGGAUUAGAUACCCUGGUAGUCCACGCCGUAAACGAUGAUAACUAACUGUUUGCGAUAUAUAGUAAGUGGUACAGAGAAAUCGUUAAGUUAUCCACCUGGGGAGUACGCCGGCAACGGUGAAACUCAAAGGAAUUGACGGGGGCCCGCACAAGCGGAGGAACAUGUGGUUUAAUUCGAUGAUACGCGAGGAACCUUACCCGGGCUUGAAAUGUACAUGAAUUACUUGGAAACAGGUAAGCCAGCAAUGGCAUGUAUGUAGGUGCUGCAUGGUUGUCGUCAGCUCGUGCCGUGAGGUGUCGGCUUAAGUGCCAUAACGAGCGCAACCCUUGUCGUUAGUUACUAACAGGUUAAGCUGAGGACUCUAGCGAGACUGCCACCGUAAGGUGCGAGGAAGGUGGGGAUGACGUCAAAUCAGCACGGCCCUUACGUCCGGGGCGACACACGUGUUACAAUGGAUGGUACAGAGGGUUGCUACCUGGUGACAGGAUGCUAAUCUCUUAAAGCCAUUCUCAGUUCGGAUCGGAGUCUGCAACUCGACUCCGUGAAGCUGGAUUCGCUAGUAAUCGCGCAUCAGCCAUGGCGCGGUGAAUACGUUCCCGGGCCUUGUACACACCGCCCGUCAAGCCAUGGAAGCCGAGGGGACCUGAAGUACGUAACCGCAAGGAGCGUCCUAGGGUAAAAUUGGUAACUGGGGCU
This 1449-nucleotide ribosomal RNA is filed under the name uncultured Bacteroidota bacterium. RNAcentral's name for it is "uncultured Bacteroidetes bacterium partial 16S ribosomal RNA". It matches the Rfam family "Bacterial small subunit ribosomal RNA". Lineage: Bacteria; Pseudomonadati; Bacteroidota. The record is from RNAcentral.